This 251-nucleotide small RNA is filed under the name uncultured Kluyvera sp. Its description in RNAcentral is "Erse small RNA". It matches the Rfam family "Erse small RNA". The record is from RNAcentral. Lineage: Bacteria; Pseudomonadati; Pseudomonadota; Gammaproteobacteria; Enterobacterales; Enterobacteriaceae.
CCGCAGAACUGCUCGCGCCAUAUACCGGAGAUAUUGCGGCCGAAGGCGUCAGUAAAGCCCUGCGUGGGGGGAUGAAGUUUUUGCAGCAUGGGCUGGCGCGCCAGCAGCGAUAUGUGGCUGAAACGCUCACUGAAGAGUGGCGUCUUGCGCCGGGUGCAUUAGAAGUGGCCUGGUUUGCUGAAGAAGCGAUGGCCGUGGAGCGAGAGCUUGCAGCCCUCACCAAACGGCUGGAAAAACUGGAGGAGAAAUGA